This is a regulatory RNA element of 166 nucleotides. It matches the Rfam family "M-box riboswitch aptamer (ykoK leader)". From Rfam's summary of the family: M-box riboswitch, also know as ykoK leader is described as a metaloregulatory RNA that sense divalent metals and function as a genetic control element of genes related to divalent metal transport in bacteria. It was first reported upstream of the B.subtilis ykoK gene and genes with related functions in other bacteria. Phylogenetic analysis of the distribution of M-box RNAs across bacterial genomes revealed that M-box riboswitches are most often employed for the regulation of Mg2+ transporter genes The record is from Rfam.
AAAGUAUUCUGUUAGGUGAGGCUCCUAAAUAGAGAAACGCUUCUGCCCAAAAAUGUCGAGAGACGCCAAUGGGUCAACAGGAAAGAUCGGAAGAAGGUCUUUUUUAAUGAAGCUGGUAAACGUACCUAUGCUAUUUAGUGCUAAAACUUGAACGAGGGGAAACUUA